Molecule: ribosomal RNA, 360 nt
Filed under: uncultured bacterium
Lineage: Bacteria
Description: bacterial SSU rRNA
Rfam family: Bacterial small subunit ribosomal RNA
Source: RNAcentral
GAAUUCACUAGUGAUUCAGGCCUAACACAUGCAAGUCGAGCGGUAGAGAGAAGCUUGCUUCUCUUGAGAGCGGCGGACGGGUGAGUAAUGCCUAGGAAUCUGCCUGGUAGUGGGGGAUAACGUUCGGAAACGGACGCUAAUACCGCAUACGUCCUACGGGAGAAAGCAGGGGACCUUCGGGCCUUGCGCUAUCAGAUGAGCCUAGGUCGGAUUAGCUAGUUGGUGAGGUAAUGGCUCACCAAGGCUACGAUCCGUAACUGGUCUGAGAGGAUGAUCAGUCACACUGGAACUGAGACACGGUCCAGACUCCUACGGGAGGCAGCAGUGGGGAAUAUUGGACAAUGGGCGAAAGCCUGAUCC